RNAcentral lists this ribosomal RNA (473 nucleotides) under uncultured bacterium. RNAcentral describes it as "bacterial SSU rRNA". It matches the Rfam family "Bacterial small subunit ribosomal RNA", at positions 335 to 799 of the family's 1533-position model. The record is from RNAcentral.
ACUCCUACGGGAGGCAGCAGUGGGGAAUAUUGCACAAUGGGGAAACCCUGAUGCAGCCAUGCCGCGUGUGUGAAGAAGGCCUUCGGUUGUAAAGCACUUUCAGUAGGGAGGAAGGUAGUGUAGUUAACACCUGCACUAUUUGACGUUACCUACAGAAGAAGCACCGGCUAACUCCGUGCCAGCAGCCGCGGUAAUACGGAGGGGUGCGAGCGUUAAUCGGAAUUACUGGGCGUAAAGCGCAUGCAGGCGGCCUGUUAAGUCAGAUGUGAAAGCCCGGGGGCUUAACCUCGGAAUUGCAUUUGAAACUGGCAGGCUAGAGUCUUGUAGAGGGGGUAGGAAUUUCAGGUGUAGCGGUGAAAUGCGUAGAGAUCUGAAGGAAUACCAGUGGCGAAGGCGGCCCCCUGGACAAAGACUGACGCUCAGAUGCGAAAGCGUGGGGAGCAAACAGGAUUAGAUACCCUGGUAGCACAGAG